This is a long non-coding RNA of Oncorhynchus tshawytscha (Chinook salmon), 749 nucleotides long. RefSeq lists it as uncharacterized. The record is from RefSeq and is a predicted model, not a curated record. The transcript has 2 exons. Lineage: Eukaryota; Metazoa; Chordata; Actinopteri; Salmoniformes; Salmonidae.
GCUUAUUAAUGAUCAGGCGUGUUGUCAGAUGCACAGUAUCAUCAGCGUCCCUGUCGCCGUUUGGUGAAAGGAGAGAACUCAACUAAGGAAUCAUUGGGGCGCCAACUAAACAUCCACCAUUUCAACUAGAGGUCAAAUCAUUCAGGUAUAACAUUAUAUUAUUUCAUGGUUUAAUUUCUAAUUCAUUUCAAUUUACAUAAAACAUCUGCACAAUUUUGGAAUAUAUUAUACAGUAUAAUGUAUUGCUUUUUCUAAAUGUAAUGGGUCUUCUUUAGUCAUUGUUUCUAUUUGACUUGGGGAGGCAGGUAGCCUAGUGGUUAGAGCAUUGGACUAAUAACCGAAAGGUUGCCGGAUCAAAUCCCUGAGCUGACAAGGUUCAUAGUCUGCAACUGUGAGAGCAGGCCCCCCACUUAGUGUAUUUGUCAAGCUGAGUUGGACACUCAGUAUUACAGGGUGUCAGUUUGUCAAAUACCCCAAGUGAGGGGUCACUUGUCUGCUGAGCAUCUCCCAUCAGACUAACUUCAAAGAAGAACACUUCAUUAACCUCCAAGUGACUUUCACUGUUAAGACUUUCUCAGAGGCAAAACAUUUGGAUUAUGUGAAAAUUAUUAUCUCCAUCUACUAUGAGUGAUUAUGUGCAAUUGUCUCAUGUAUUUUGUGUAAGUUUGUAUGAUGGAACUUAGUACACUGUGUAACAAAUGUGUGUCUCUGUAUUAAAUACUGCAUUAAAUACGUACUGGGUUAUAAAA